This 108-nucleotide ribosomal RNA is filed under the name Sphaerotilus microaerophilus. The record is from RNAcentral. Lineage: Bacteria; Pseudomonadati; Pseudomonadota; Betaproteobacteria; Burkholderiales; Sphaerotilaceae.
UGACGACCAUAGCGAGGUGGUCCCACUCCUUCCCAUCCCGAACAGGACAGUGAAACACCUCAGCGCCGAUGAUAGUGCGCAUUCGCGUGUGAAAGUAGGUCAUCGUCA